UACAGAGGGUGCAAACGUUGUUCGGAAUUACUGGGCGUAAAGCGCGUGUAGGCGGCUAAGUAAGUCGGGCGUGAAAUCCCACGGCUCAACCGUGGAAGUGCACUCGAAACUGCGUAGCUAGAGUCCUGGAGAGGAAGGUGGAAUGCUUGGUGUAGAGGUGAAAUUCGUAGAUAUCAAGCGGAACACCGGUGGCGAAGGCGGCCUUCUGGACAGUGACUGACGCUGAGACGCGAAAGCGUGGGGAGCAAACAGG
This 253-nucleotide ribosomal RNA is filed under the name uncultured bacterium. RNAcentral describes it as "partial 16S ribosomal RNA". It matches the Rfam family "Bacterial small subunit ribosomal RNA", at positions 524 to 776 of the family's 1533-position model. The record is from RNAcentral.